RNAcentral lists this unclassified non-coding RNA (277 nucleotides) under Salipiger thiooxidans. Its description in RNAcentral is "Long range pseudoknot". The record is from RNAcentral. Lineage: Bacteria; Pseudomonadati; Pseudomonadota; Alphaproteobacteria; Rhodobacterales; Roseobacteraceae.
ACUCACGACUACGACGUGAAGAUGCGCAACGUCCUGAAAUUCCUCGAGAACGGCGACAAGGUGAAGAUCACCCUGCGCUUCCGUGGCCGCGAGAUGGCGCACCAGAACCUCGGCCGCGAGCUGCUGGAACGGGUGGCCGAGGACGUCAAGGAAUUGGGCAAGGUCGAGAACAUGCCCAAGAUGGAAGGCCGCCAGAUGAUCAUGAUGAUCGGACCGGUCCUCAAGUAAGCACCGCUUUGGCACGCCUUGCGGCGAUCUCCGUAUCGCCACCGACCGA